AGUGAACGCUGGCGGUAGGCCUAACACAUGCAAGUCGAACGGCAGCACAGUAAGAGCUUGCUCUUACGGGUGGCGAGUGGCGGACGGGUGAGGAAUACAUCGGAAUCUACUUUUUCGUGGGGGAUAACGUAGGGAAACUUACGCUAAUACCGCAUACGACCUACGGGUGAUAGCAGGGGAUCUUCGGACCUUGCGCGAUUGAAUGAGCCGAUGUCGGAUUAGCUAGUUGGCGGGGUAAAGGCCCACCAAGGCGACGAUCCGUAGCUGGUCUGAGAGGAUGAUCAGCCACACUGGAACUGAGACACGGUCCAGACUCCUACGGGAGGCAGCAGUGGGGAAUAUUGGACAAUGGGCGCAAGCCUGAUCCAGCCAUACCGCGUGGGUGAAGAAGGCCUUCGGGUUGUAAAGCCCUUUUGUUGGGAAAGAAAAGCAGCAGGUUAAUACCCCGCUGUCCUGACGGUACCCAAAGAAUAAGCACCGGCUAACUUCGUG
This 492-nucleotide ribosomal RNA is filed under the name uncultured bacterium. RNAcentral's name for it is "partial 16S ribosomal RNA". It matches the Rfam family "Bacterial small subunit ribosomal RNA", at positions 29 to 507 of the family's 1533-position model. The record is from RNAcentral.